AUGGAAACAUACUAAGUGAUCACUUUCAAAUUCAGAGAAACCCUGGAAUUAGAAAUGGGCAAUCCUGAGCCAAAUCCUGUAAAAAAAAAAAAAAAGAAUCAAAAGGGAUAGGUGCAGAGACUCAAUGGAAGCUGUUCUAAAAAAUGGAGUUGACUAACGUAAUACGUUAGUCAAGUCAAGGAAUCCUUACAUCAAAACUUAAAAAAAGAUGAAGGAUAACCUUUCUUUCUAUAAACUUAAAAAAAAAUCAAAAUACUUUUUGAAUCAAUUGAGAGUUGAAGAAAGAAUUAAAUAUGAUUUGAUCCAAUCAUUUACUCCAAAGUCUGAUAUAUCUUUUUAAAAAUGGAUUAGUCAGAUGAGAAUAAAGAUAGAGUCCCAUUCUAUAUGUCAGUA
This 393-nucleotide transfer RNA is filed under the name Roepera leptopetala. RNAcentral's name for it is "partial tRNA-Leu". The stretch from base 1 to 188 matches the Rfam family "Group I catalytic intron", at positions 27 to 253 of the family's 253-position model. The record is from RNAcentral. Lineage: Eukaryota; Viridiplantae; Streptophyta; Magnoliopsida; Zygophyllales; Zygophyllaceae.